Molecule: long non-coding RNA, 813 nt
Filed under: Equus caballus (horse)
Lineage: Eukaryota; Metazoa; Chordata; Mammalia; Perissodactyla; Equidae
Description: lncRNA (ENSECAG00000040036.2)
Source: RNAcentral
GGCCGCUGAAGCUUCCCUCCAGAGCGUCCAGACUGACGCGGUCCCCGCCUCUCAAACGCUUCCUCUGUCCCAGCCGCCUGUCACUGGAGCUCAGGGCUCCGAGUCACACACUCCCCACCCCCAGACCACUGGCACGGGUCUAGAGACCUGGAUUCUCUCUCCAGGGCUGCUCCUCCCAGCGACGUGGCCUUCAACAGCUCACUUCGCCUCCCUAGCCUCAGUUUCUCCUUGGGAGCGAUGUUCAAGCCACGUCGUCUGUGGCCCUCGAGGGCUCAGGCUUCCUCUGUGGUGGGUUGGUGAUGCUUGGGGGCAGCUACGAGGAAAGCCAAGCGCCACUAGGGCCCACGAGCUGCAACUCCAAAAGCACACCACAAGGUAACUGAAAGUUGGGCACACUGACAAGUGUCGCCUUUUAUGAAAGUGCCUGGAAGGACCCGGAAGGACCCUUUCCUCAGAGGUCAGCUCCAUGGAGGUACCACGGUGGCAGAUGCUCCACUUAAGCUGGGAAAAUCGUCAUGUCUUCAAGCACCUUUGGCUCUCCUGUCAUUCAUUCGGGAAAGGGAUUCCUGGUGUGUCCCCACCAGCAUCCGAGUUAGGACGGAUGGCCGUUUCUCGUCUUUGCUCCUCUCUUGGGGCCAGUUGCCCAUCCAUCUCCUGGUGGGUGGAAGCUGAUAUUGGAUAAAUACCAGUUGUCACUGCUGGGCUCUGCCCAGAUUUUCUACCCCUGAAGGCAUCCUGUCAACAGGUGUCUGGUGACACAGGGCCCAUGAGGUCCUGCCUGCUUCACAGAUGUUAGGUUCCAGCCGCAAAACC